AAUUAAGAAGCGAAUGUUGCAUUUAGUUUCGGCCUAAACUUUGGUGGCUCCUCCACCCUUAAUUA
Molecule: transfer RNA, 65 nt
Filed under: Plesionika sindoi
Lineage: Eukaryota; Metazoa; Arthropoda; Malacostraca; Decapoda; Pandalidae
Description: tRNA-Arg
Source: RNAcentral